GUUGAACGCUGGCGGCGUGCCUAAUACAUGCAAGUCGAGCGAACAGACGAGGAGCUUGCUCCUCUGACGUUAGCGGCGGACGGGUGAGUAACACGUGGAUAACCUACCUAUAAGACUGGGAUAACUUCGGGAAACCGGAGCUAAUACCGGAUAACAUGUUGAACCACAUGGUUCAACAGUGAAAGACGGUCUUGCUGUCACUUAUAGAUGGAUCCGCGCCGCAUUAGCUAGUUGGUAAGGUAACGGCUUACCAAGGCAACGAUGCGUAGCCGACCUGAGAGGGUGAUCGGCCACACUGGAACUGAGACACGGUCCAGACUCCUACGGGAGGCAGCAGUAGGGAAUCUUCCGCAAUGGGCGAAAGCCUGACGGAGCAACGCCGCGUGAGUGAAGAAGGUCUUCGGAUCGUAAAACUCUGUUAUUAGGGAAGAACAAAUGUGUAAGUAACUAUGCACGUCUUGACGGUACCUAAUCAGAAAGCCACGGCUAACUACGUG
Molecule: ribosomal RNA, 497 nt
Filed under: uncultured bacterium
Lineage: Bacteria
Description: partial 16S ribosomal RNA
Rfam family: Bacterial small subunit ribosomal RNA
Source: RNAcentral